This 409-nucleotide ribosomal RNA is filed under the name uncultured bacterium. RNAcentral describes it as "bacterial SSU rRNA". It matches the Rfam family "Bacterial small subunit ribosomal RNA", at positions 505 to 916 of the family's 1533-position model. The record is from RNAcentral.
GUGUCAGCCGCCGCGGUAAUACGUAGGUGGCAAGCGUUGUCCGGAAUUAUUGGGCGUAAAGCGCGCGCAGGCGGCUUCUUAAGUCUGAUGUGAAAGGCUGCGGCUCAACCGCAGACGGUCAUUGGAAACUGGGGAGCUUGAGGGCAGAAGAGGAGAGUAGAAUUCCACGUGUAGCGGUGAAAUGCGUAGAGAUGUGGAGGAAUACCGGUGGCGAAGGCGGCUCUCUGGUCUGCAGCUGACGCUGAGGCGCGAAAGCGUGGGGAGCAAACAGGAUUAGAUACCCUGGUAGUCCACGCAGUAAACGAUGAUUACUGGUUGUUUGCGAUACAAUGCAAGCGACUGAGCGAAAGCGUUAAGUAAUCCACCUGGGGAGUACGUUCGCAAGAAUGAAACUUAAAGGAAUUGACGG